Molecule: ribosomal RNA, 199 nt
Filed under: uncultured bacterium
Lineage: Bacteria
Description: partial 16S ribosomal RNA
Rfam family: Bacterial small subunit ribosomal RNA
Source: RNAcentral
GGUCUUUAAGUCUGAUGUGAAAGCCUUCGGCUUAACCGGGGUAGUGCAUUGGAGACUGGGAGACUUGAGUGCAGAAGAGGAGAGUGGAACUCCAUGUGUAGCAGUGAAAUGCGUAGAUAUAUGGAAGAACACCAGUGGCGAAAGCGGCUCUCUGGUCUGUAACUGACGCUGAGGUUCGAAAGCGUGGGUAGCAAACAGG